RNAcentral lists this transfer RNA (77 nucleotides) under Alphaproteobacteria bacterium. RNAcentral describes it as "tRNA-Pro". It matches the Rfam family "tRNA". Rfam says of the family: Transfer RNA (tRNA) molecules are approximately 80 nucleotides in length. RNAcentral also lists the same sequence under 1 other name. The record is from RNAcentral. Lineage: Bacteria; Pseudomonadati; Pseudomonadota; Alphaproteobacteria.
CGGAGUGUAGCGCAGUCUGGUAGCGCACCUCGUUCGGGACGAGGGGGGCGCAGGUUCAAAUCCUGCCACUCCGACCA